UAAUAAGUGUUUUAUGGCACUUUUUAAAUCCAUAUCCACCUUGUGUGCAAUGUCAGUCGAUUCUUUCUUCAUGAGAUCGACCAAACAUCAACUUAUUCUAAUUGAACUUUUGUCUGAAAACUAUUAUGAAUAAACUAAUUCAAAAUA
This 147-nucleotide unclassified non-coding RNA is filed under the name soil metagenome. RNAcentral's name for it is "partial internal transcribed spacer 1". The record is from RNAcentral.